GAUGAACGCUGGCGGCGUGCUUAACACAUGCAAGUCGAACGGGAAACUUUUCAUUGAAGCUUCGGCAGAUUUGGUCUGUUUCUAGUGGCGGACGGGUGAGUAACGCGUGGGUAACCUGCCUUAUACAGGGGGAUAACAACCAGAAAUGGUUGCUAAUACCGCAUAAGCGCACAGGACCGCAUGGUCCGGUGUGAAAAACUCCGGUGGUAUAAGAUGGACCCGCGUUGGAUUAGCUAGUUGGCAGGGCAACGGCCUACCAAGGCGACGAUCCAUAGCCGGCCUGAGAGGGUGAACGGCCACAUUGGGACUGAGACACGGCCCAGACUCCUACGGGAGGCAGCAGUGGGGAAUAUUGCACAAUGGGGGAAACCCUGAUGCAGCGACGCCGCGUGAAGGAAGAAGUAUCUCGGUAUGUAAACUUCUAUCAGCAGGGAAGA
Molecule: ribosomal RNA, 437 nt
Filed under: uncultured bacterium
Lineage: Bacteria
Description: bacterial SSU rRNA
Rfam family: Bacterial small subunit ribosomal RNA
Source: RNAcentral